This is a long non-coding RNA of Pseudoliparis swirei, 544 nucleotides long. RefSeq lists it as uncharacterized. Lineage: Eukaryota; Metazoa; Chordata; Actinopteri; Perciformes; Liparidae. The transcript has 4 exons. The record is from RefSeq and is a predicted model, not a curated record.
CAGACUUGGAAAGGAGGACUGGGUGAACAUCAAGUGGCAGCCGGGCCAGAUAACCCACAGCUGCCAGAAAGAUGGCAGCAGUUGUGGGAUCUUUGUCAUGCAGAUGGCCGAGAUGACGGUGAUGGAACUUCCAAAGAUUCCUCAGCAUUUUCGCAUCAACUCAUCUAAACAAUCUAUUGACAAGCUAAGAAGAAACAUGGCUGAAGACAUUCUGAAACAAUCAGGUUUAAAAAAAAUAGUUUCAAAGGAUGAGCUCUGUUCCUUCUGUGGAAUUGAGGACCUGCCCAAAACUGAUGUUGAUGCUGUUUGGAUUCAGUGUGGAACUUGCUCAAGAUGGUUUCACACGCUGUGCCUUGGGAUGACAGCAGCACAAAUACCAAACAACAUUGGUAUUGUGUGUUGUGUAACUGAACACUUAGGAAUAUGUAUGUCUGACUUUGUCGGAUAAACUUGUUGACUUCAAGUUUAUCCAGUUAAAUGUUGUUCAAGCCGAACCAGUCAUGUAUACAUUGGUAUCUGAUCGUUCAUAAAUAUUAAAUGGGGG